UCGGAGUUUGCACGUUAAAACAGUGCCAAAAGUCGUUGACCAAUCAAAAUGUGUUUUCGGCUUCGACCAACGAGCUCCAACUUCCCCUGCAUUUUCAUUGGUCGGAGAGAGUGAACCGUUGUGAAGACAAAUGGACAAUCAACGACCUCAGGUUUCUGAAUCAUUUGCAGUGCUCGAGAAAAAGCCACAUACAAUGACAGCGUUCCCCUCCCCCCACCAGAAUCCAGCAAGGAAGCAAGUAGUGUUAGAACACCAAGCAGUAAGGCUAAUACAGACUUUGCCACCUAUGGUUAAGACAGCUGGUUCGCCCUCUCUUUGUCCAAGAACAUUCUUUCAAUGGCUCACAGGACAGGAACACAUCAGACCAGUUCGUCUGUGGAUAUUUGUGCCCAUUCAAUAAAUAAGUAAAACAAA
Molecule: long non-coding RNA, 414 nt
Organism: Trichomycterus rosablanca
Lineage: Eukaryota; Metazoa; Chordata; Actinopteri; Siluriformes; Trichomycteridae
Exons: 3
Source: RefSeq, a predicted model, not a curated record